RNAcentral lists this ribosomal RNA (497 nucleotides) under uncultured bacterium. RNAcentral's name for it is "partial 16S ribosomal RNA". It matches the Rfam family "Bacterial small subunit ribosomal RNA", at positions 28 to 507 of the family's 1533-position model. The record is from RNAcentral.
GAUGAACGCUGGCGGCGUGCCUAAUACAUGCAAGUCGAGCGAACAGACGAGGAGCUUGCUCCUCUGACGUUAGCGGCGGACGGGUGAGUAACACGUGGAUAACCUACCUAUAAGACUGGGAUAACUUCGGGAAACCGGUGCUAAUACCGGAUAAUAUAUUGAACCGCAUGGUUCAAUAGUGAAAGACGGUUUUGCUGUCACUUAUAGAUGGAUCCGCGCCGCAUUAGCUAGUUGGUAAGGUAACGGCUUACCAAGGCAACGAUGCGUAGCCGACCUGAGAGGGUAAUCGGCCACACUGGAACUGAGAGACGGUCCAGACUCCGACGGGAGGCAGCAGUAGGGAAUCUUCCGAAAUGGGCGAAAGCCUGACGGAGCAACGCCGCGUGAGUGAUGAAGGGCUUCGGAUCGUAAAACUCUGUUAUUAGGGAAGAACAAAUGUGUAAGUAACUAUGCACGUCUUGACGGUACCUAAUCAGAAAGCCACGGCUAACUACGUG